UAGGUACUCCCUCCGUUUCACAAUACAUGACUUUCAUUUAUCAAAAUAUAGAUGUAUCUAGACAUGUUUUAGUAUAUAGGUACAUCCAUUUUUGAACAAAUAGAAGUCAAGUAUUUUAAAACGGAGGGAGUAGGUU
Molecule: non-coding RNA, 136 nt
Organism: Triticum aestivum (bread wheat)
Lineage: Eukaryota; Viridiplantae; Streptophyta; Magnoliopsida; Poales; Poaceae
Source: Rfam